UUGUCCCCAGUUUGUCUCUCUCUGUGUUUGUGUGUAUGCUGGGCAUGGCAUCCUGGUUUCCCUCUCCCACUCUUCAACCAGUGCACCUGCAGCUGAUCAUCUAAUCAACUUAACAUGCCACUGCAGCAUAAAACCUCGGCUCAUCCAUCAAGACUCUGCCAGAUUGUUCAGUCUACCACACGGUUAACACUCCAGUCUGCCACCAUUGCCUGCCACGAACAGCUUCAUCUUUGUCAUCUACCUCUGGUUUUGGAUCCUCAACUCAUCGCCUGCCCUGCUCUGCUGAGAACCCCAUUCUCCAACCUGCCUACAACACAGAACCCCUCACCUGCUCCACUCCACUUGCUCCAUCUGCCACUCUUUGCCCCUCUCCUACACUGGACUCUGGUGAAAUCAACCAACUGUUUGCAAUAAACCCUUUCCUAAACCA
Thunnus maccoyii (southern bluefin tuna) is the source of this 430-nucleotide long non-coding RNA. RefSeq lists it as uncharacterized. The record is from RefSeq and is a predicted model, not a curated record. NCBI's taxonomy places the organism in Eukaryota, Metazoa, Chordata, Actinopteri, Scombriformes, Scombridae. The transcript is spliced from 2 exons.